AAAGCGAAUAGUGAAACCUGGUGGCUCAACCACACAGACUAUUAUUCGAACUCAUUAACUCGAGAAUGGUAGAGGUAACUGGAAUUUCUAGUGUAGGAGUGAAAUCCGUAGAUAUUAGAAGGAACACCAAUGGCGUAGGCAGGUUACUGGACCAUUUCUGACACUGAGGCACGAAAGCGUGGGGAGCGAACCGGAUUAGAUACCCGGGUAGUCCACGCCGUAAACGAUGGAUACUA
RNAcentral lists this ribosomal RNA (236 nucleotides) under uncultured Candidatus Saccharibacteria bacterium. RNAcentral's name for it is "partial 16S ribosomal RNA". It matches the Rfam family "Bacterial small subunit ribosomal RNA", at positions 584 to 818 of the family's 1533-position model. Lineage: Bacteria; Candidatus Saccharimonadota. The record is from RNAcentral.